Molecule: long non-coding RNA, 2743 nt
Filed under: Zostera marina
Lineage: Eukaryota; Viridiplantae; Streptophyta; Magnoliopsida; Alismatales; Zosteraceae
Description: long non-coding RNA (ZMAR_LNC006011)
Source: RNAcentral
UGCUGUUGCGAAAUUUUCAGACAAUGAAUAAUCUAUCACCAUCAACUUUUAAUGCUGAUCAGCCAACUACUGAUUCAUUCACACUUUUUGGUCAUAGAAUUGCAUCAGUGGUUCCAAAUUGUAAUAUUGCAAUUACUGAUGAUGCUUCAGUAAUAUUUGAAAAUAUUUUGCGGUUAUAUGUUUUGGUAAAAGUUUUUGGAUUAUGGAAAAUUUUCUUUCUUGCUAAUUGAUAAUAUUAGUAGAUUGACAUAAGAUUUGUUCUAACUAUAUUAUUUUAAAAAUUAAUUUCAGAUUCUACUAAUGACAAUGAGUCUGAGCUAGUCAGCAAUCAUUCCUCGACCUCAAAGAAAAAUAAGUUAUUAAACAACAUGAAUUAGUUUAGCAAUUAAAACACAUGAAAACCAUAGAAACUUGAAGCUCUGUUGAAACCGAAGAAACUCCAGGCUCUGUAGAUGAUGAAAUCGGGAACAUGCCUAACAGAAUAAGAAGUAUAGAAUUUGAAAAUAUGAAAACCCUAAUCAUAACAUGAAGAAAUCUGGAACCUAGAAUUCGAUGUAUGAAGUGAAAUAACAAGAAACUUAUUUUAAUUAGUCAAUAUCUCUAUUUAGAAAUACUUUGACAGGAAAUGGUUUCGCAGAAGAACUGGCAAGCGUAACCGAGUAAGAUGAUGAAGAAGAUGAAGUACGGUAAAAUCAAAACGCAAUAAGAAGAUGAAGAACGCUAGAAUUUAAAUAAAGAAUGAAAUAUAUGAAACUUACUUCAAGUAAACUUUUGCGUUGACAAUCUUGUUGACCUUUUAAACGUAAAUGUUGUUUAGGGUUGAUUUUAGUAAACCCUAACCCGCUAAGCCUUAAACCGGUUAACCCUAUACCGGAAAAUUGUAAACCGGUCAAGUGUUAAUGGGUAAACGGUAAAGGCGUUGUAGAAGGUAAACGGUUACUGCUAGAACUUGUAAUCGGUAACCUGUAGACGGUUCGGUAACUCAUGGAUUAACCGUAAGUGGUGUAAAAGGUAAUCGUACAGAAUAUAAACAAUCCAAUCCAAUCCAAAAACCUAAAUUUAAAAAUAAAUAAGUAUAAAAAAGAGAGAAGUACCAUCGAAGAUCAUAUUCCAAUGUUGGAAAACUCCACCACCGCUAUUAUGCCUCUUUUGGAUAGCACUCUCCGGAUACUUGACGACUCUCAGUCCCUCUGGACUUCGAGGUCAUUACCAAUGCCAUGAUCACUCUUGAAGUACAAGAAAAAGAAUUUGAUGUAGAUGGGUGGAGGACGGUUCCGAAUUCGGACAUAGCAUUUGCAAUUUUUUAGAAUUUCCGCGGUGGAGUACUGUGGAGCUGUCAAUUGUGAAUCGAAACUCUUAAACUAGGUAAAGCAAACUUAAAACCCUAAAACGAAAACUCAAUCGAAUGGAUGAAAACAUUUUGUCGCAGCUUGAAUAUAAAACACGGAGUAUAAAUCUAAUGGAUGAAUAAGAGGUUGAACCAUGGAAUAUUCAAUUAUUUGAAACAAAGAUAAUGAGUAAAACAAACGGGAAGUUGAAGAAAUGGUCGAUAACGAGAAAAUCCAUAAUUUUGAUUGAAUCAAAUAAACUAAUGAAAGUUUUAAAACGUUUGAAAACUAGUAGACCUAGUGAACGUUUGAAAACCCAUAAAGAAAUUGAGAGGUUAUUUGUAAUGGAAAAGAUGGCGGCUGAAAGAAAGUGAAAGGACGAAAGAACCAAGUCGUGGAAGACCUCGACGAAACCCAAUGACGGUAAAGUGUAGACGAAAGUGAAACCGUGGGGCGACUGAAAGAAAGGACUACAAACCGAGUCGUGGAAGACCUCGAUGAAACCCAAUGACGGUAAAGUGUAGACGAAAUCCCAACGACGAAAUCCCAACGACGAAAUCCCAACGACGAAAACCCAACGACGAAAUCCCAUUCACUGUCUAAAGUGUAGACCGGUGAAAUCCCAUUUUUGAGCGAAUUUCGAAGUCCGUUAAACGAUAAACCCUAAACCGGUUAAGUCUUAAUGGGUAACCGGUAAGUAAUGGAAACGGUAAGAGGGAAAACGGUGAAGAGGGGGAAAAACGCUAAACGGUAAAGAAAUCCCCAAAACAAAUCUAAUCGAAACCCUAGAACUAGUAAAAUCAAAUUUGAAAUCCUACAAUGAAAUGAAACCAUUGUCCAGAGAACGGAAAUGCAGCAAAACGAGACGAAAUGAAAGCCAUCGUGAAAGUGAACCGCGAAGAUGAAAGUGCACUCGAAGAAAGCGAUAACGAAAGGAAAGUGAAAACCCAUUGAUAACUCAUUGAAAGCGAAAUUCAUUGAAAACCCAUCGGGAUAGGGAACACCCAAAAUGAAAGAGAAGAUGAAAAAAACAUGACCGAUUGGAUGAAGGAACCGUGGAGCACCGAAGGAACAGAACUGGAAGAUGUGGAACGAAGAUGAAAACAGAAACCUUCAAACGAAACCCCUAAAACAAAGCGAACUAGAACCUACAACUGACCUACACAAACAAGGCAACACAAAAGUAGGACUUAUAACUGACAACUAAUGUAAACCUGACCUAUGAAUUCUAACUUAAAACGAAUCCUAAAACAAAGUUAAUGACAGAAAUAAUUAAAAUCCGACGAAUUAUUUAUCAGACCAUGGAUUCCUCAUCCGACGGAGGAGCAGGAGUGUGCACACCGUGUGCAGUGCACACCUGAUCCAAAUUGUAUAGUUAUAUACCGUCUCUUUUGGAGUUUUGAAAUCAUUUUUUU